This 2616-nucleotide long non-coding RNA is filed under the name Marmota monax (woodchuck). The record is from RNAcentral. Lineage: Eukaryota; Metazoa; Chordata; Mammalia; Rodentia; Sciuridae.
UGGCAGGCAGUGGGGGGUGGGGAGGUUGGGGGGGACUUUCUUGAGUUAAAUGGGCUUACAUCUGAUGUCAAUACUUCCUUCUCUGAGAAAUGGUAUAUAUAUAUGUGUGUAUAAUGUAAGUGUGCAUGUGCGUGUGCAUGUGCGUGUGUGUGCGUGAGUGCCUAACAGCAUAACUACCAACUGCAAAAGCUGUAUCGUUGCAACUCAUAAGAUAGGGCAAAGAUGUCUCCAUGUCUCUCCCUCCUAGGCAAGGAUGACAUGUGCUUUUAGGUUAGCUGCCCGUAGUUCUAGAAAUAUAUUAUGCCAGGGCAGGGACCCUCACCAGAGUCAGGCCACAGAGGUACCCUACAGCCUUUCUGUGGCCAUCUCCAAGGGCAGGGUGGGAGGAAGAGGAGCCGGGUUGGAGCUAACCUCCUUAAAAGACUGCUUUGCAGUCAGGGAGGUUGGCUGGGGUGUCAGGGCUUGGUGUAUCUCAUGGGAAAAUCUGGUGCAUCUGACAAUGCUCCAUUCUCACAAUGCCACAAGGCAUGGGGUUGGGCCGGGUGUGGGGCUCUGGAAGGCACCAAGACAAUCUUGCUUGCUUAGCUGUGAGAGGUCGCCUUGGGAGUAGCAGCCAGAGAGAUGGGACUUGCUGUUCUCUUGGGCUGUGCUGCUGCAGAGCAGCCUUGACCUGCAAAGCCCCAGCUUCCAGGGAGCCUGUGCUAUAGGAUAAAGAAGGCAAAACAUGGUGCUCGAAGCCAAAGAGCUGUUCAGAGGAUGGCUAUUUGGUCUCAUUUUCCCAGCGGAGAAAGGAAUAGGCUGGGGCUGGACAUCUGCCUAGUCAGGGGAACAGGGGAGGAAGGAGUUGGAAACUGACCAGGAAACUGCCUCCCACCAAGCCUGCCAAGUCAGGUGAGGGAGUGUUUGGGUUCCCAGAAGACCAAAGGGAGGGCGUUUAUAUAGACCACAAAAGGGGAAUCCUAUCAGCAAGUCUACACCCCUGUCACGGGCCCUGCCUUCCUCCCCCUGAACCCCGGCCGUCCUGUCUCCUAUCUUUGUGAAACCCAUGGGGGAUGUGAUAAGAAGCCUGCCAGGGGCACCAGGCACCCCCUACACCCCAGACUGUGCAUUUCGAUGAGCAGUAGCAAAAGGGCCCCCGGAGACCUCAUGAGAAGUCCUGUCUAUAGCAGUAGCCCUUAGUACAGACCACCAAAUGAAGCAGAGUGAGCACACCCAGGCUUUCUCUUUUUAGCCGGGCUGGCGUGGUAGGUGUUUGGGAGACAUUAACUGCCUGGGCUGUGCCCUUCUCUAGAGGAACACAGGUGCCCCUUCUCUUCAUUGUCCUCAUCAGGACUAAGACUCCUUUCUGGACUCAGGAUGGCUAAUUAAGAGAUGCAGCCACUGAGGUUGGGGGAAGCCAGACGUGUGGAGGUGUCCCAGGACACCUAACCAGAUGCGCUCUGCUGUUGUGAGUCUAUCACACCCUCCCCCAUUUGGGCUCCCCUCUGCCUCCCAGGGAGCCACGUGUGAGCCUGGUCCCACCAGACUGUCCUGGGUGUGGGUUUCAGGAAGUCUCCUCUGCCCAUCAUUAGCACCCAGAGGAAUCCAUUUCUUUAAAAAAAAAAUGUUUCUGGAGCACCCCUCUGUGCCAGGCAGUGUUCUAAGCACUUAGGAUACAUUAGUGAACAAGCAGCCCACACCUUUAUCUUCACCUCGCUUGUGUUCUGCUGGGAGGGGUCGGGGGACACUGCACCAGGUACUUGGCUUUAGGGAUUCCCCCCGUCGGAGAGGACUGUGAGGUCAGGACAAGAGGGUAAUAAACCACUAGAGUGAAUCUCCUACACGCCCAGGGUGAUGCCAGCCCCUUAGCACGGUCCUCACUUCCUGCAGUCCACCUCAACCCCUCCCAGGUGAAGAGCCAGAUGGGCCCAGUAUUCUGCUCUGGGAAGAAGGCAGCUGCUCGAACCUCAGUGGCCCAACAAGGACAAUUAGUUCAGGCCUGAUUUUGGUUGCUUCUUGUGCCCUGGCCAGUGGGGGCCUUGUCAUAUGGGCCUCUGAUCCAUGCCUGUCAUUUGGGAAGAGCAACAUGAAGAGGGACUUGAGGAUAUAUUUCCUAGAUAAAGGGGUUUGCUGGGCCUUAUAUGUCAUAUCAGAGGCCUAUCUUAGGAUUUUAAAUCCACACUGGCCUCUGGCUACCACCCAAAACAAGAAGUUCUAAUUUGGGACAAAAUGAGAAAGGACACAGACCCAUGCCCAUCUUAACUCCAGAAUCUCCUGCGCUUAAGACGAAUGCAGUCAUUGGCCACCAACCCCAUCUUUAGUGUGGGCCAGACUAGUUGCCCAGACCCCACUCUAUGCCAAGGCCCCAAGAGGCAGAGGUGACCUUUGUUGUCCCCCCUCAGCCCCUGGCUGAGAGACUAGCUGGGGCUCCCUGAUGGGCAGGGGAGGGAAGCCCCUAAUUACUAUAGGGCAUCUGGUGCCUCCUUCUAGACCACCCUCCCCUUGCUUUAUGUUUGUAUAAGAACUUUGUGCUGGCCGGGCCCAGUUCCCUUGUAUGAUAUGCCAUGUAUUUGCUUUAUUUUUGGUUGUUUUGUUUUGAAAUAUAGGAAAUCAAUAAAUUACUAGUGUUUCUUUGGA